Molecule: ribosomal RNA, 440 nt
Filed under: uncultured bacterium
Lineage: Bacteria
Description: partial 16S ribosomal RNA
Rfam family: Bacterial small subunit ribosomal RNA
Source: RNAcentral
CCUACGGGAGGCAGCAGUGGGGAAUAUUGCACAAUGGGGGCAACCCUGAUGCAGCGACGCAGCGUGAGUGAAGAAGUAUCUCGGUAUGUAAAGCUCUAUCAGCAGGGAAGAAAAUGACGGUACCUGACUAUGAAUCCACGGCUAACUACGUUCCAGCAGCCGCGGUAAUACGGAGGGAGCGAGCGUUAUCCGGAUUUACUGGGUGUAAAGGGAGCGUAGACGGCGCUGCAAGUCCGUAGUGAAAGCUUAUGGCUUAACCAGUGUACUGCUAUGGAAACUGUGGAGCUUGAGUGCAGGUGGGGUAGGCGGAAGUCCUGGUGUAGCGGUGAAAUGCGUAGAUAUUAGGAGGAACACCGACGGCGAAGGCGGCCUGCUGGACCGCCACUGACAUUGAUGCUCGAAAGCGUGGGUAGCAAACAGGAUUAGAUACCCGAGUAGUC